RNAcentral lists this ribosomal RNA (746 nucleotides) under uncultured bacterium. Its description in RNAcentral is "bacterial SSU rRNA". It matches the Rfam family "Bacterial small subunit ribosomal RNA", at positions 8 to 796 of the family's 1533-position model. The record is from RNAcentral.
AGAGUUUGAUCCUGGCUCAGAGCGAACGCUGGCGGCAUGCUUAACACAUGCAAGUCGCACGGGCAGGGCAACCUGUCAGUGGCGGACGGGUGAGUAACGCGUAGGAAUCUAUCUCCGGGUGGGGGACAACCGUGGGAAACUACGGCUAAUACCGCAUGAUACCUGAGGGUCAAAGGCGCAAGUCGCCUGGAGAGGAGCCUGCGUCCGAUUAGCUUGUUGGUGGGGUAAAGGCCUACCAAGGCUCCGAUCGGUAGCUGGUCUGAGAGGAUGAUCAGUCACACUGGGACUGAGACACGGCCCAGACUCCUACGGGAGGCAGCAGUGGGGAAUAUUGGACAAUGGGCGAAAGCCUGAUCCAGCAAUGCCGCGUGGGUGAAGAAGGUCUUCGGAUUGUAAAGCCCUUUCGGCGGGGACGAUGAUGACGGUACCCGCAGAAGAAGCCCCGGCUAACUUCGUGCCAGCAGCCGCGGUAAUACGAAGGGGGCUAGCGUUGCUCGGAAUGACUGGGCGUAAAGGGCGCGUAGGCGGUUCGUACAGUUGGAUGUGAAAUUCCUGGGCUCAACCUGGGGGCUGCAUUCAAUACGUGCGAGCUUGAGUUCGGAAGAGGGUCGUGGAAUUCCCAGUGUAGAGGUGAAAUUCGUAGAUAUUGGGAAGAACACCGGUGGCGAAGGCGGCGACCUGGUCCGAUACUGACGCUGAGGCGCGAAAGCGUGGGGAGCAAACAGGAUUAGAUACCCCAGUAGUCC